RNAcentral lists this ribosomal RNA (497 nucleotides) under uncultured bacterium. Its description in RNAcentral is "partial 16S ribosomal RNA". It matches the Rfam family "Bacterial small subunit ribosomal RNA", at positions 28 to 507 of the family's 1533-position model. The record is from RNAcentral.
GAUGAACGCUGGCGGCGUGCCUAAUACAUGCAAGUCGAGCGAAAGGACGCGAAGCUUGUUGCUCUGACGUUAGGGGCGGAGGGGAGAGACACACGUGGAUAAUCUACCUAUAAGACUGGGAUCAUUACGGGAAACCGUAGAUAACACCGGAUAAUAUCUUGCACCGCGUGGUUGAAAAGAGAAAGACGGUGUUUCUGUAUCUAAUAGCUGGUUACGAGCUGGAUUAGCUAGUUGGUAAGGUAAAGGCCUACCAAGGCUACGAUGCAUAGCCGAGCUGAGAGGGUGAUCGGCCACACUGGAACUGAGACGCGGUCCUGAGUCCUACGGGAGGCAGCAGUAGCGAAUGGGCCGCAGUAGGCGGAAGCCUGACGGAACAGCGCCGAGUGAGUGAUGGAAGUCUUCCGUGCGUAAUGCUCUGUUAUUAGGUGAGAACAGAUGUGGAAGGAACUGUGCACAUCGUGACGGUACCUAGUCAGAAAGCCACGGCUAACUACGUG